Oryctolagus cuniculus (rabbit) is the source of this 2981-nucleotide non-coding RNA. Lineage: Eukaryota; Metazoa; Chordata; Mammalia; Lagomorpha; Leporidae. The record is from RefSeq and is a predicted model, not a curated record.
AUCAAAAUGUUCUUGUUCACUCCUAGUGACCCAGUGAGUAGACUUAGAGAGCUGGCGAAAGGUAACUCAGGCUGAAGCGGUUUUACAAACGCUGUGCUGCAGCUCACAAAUUGCAGAUAACAAAGUGAAUUAGACAUCAUAACACAGAUGGUAACAAGAGAAUUCUCGCCAGUUUCCUAUCAAAUUUUCUGCAACAGAAAUAUACUGUUUCAUCAUGAGGAAAUCCUCUCUGUUUUCUGAUUCCUUCUGCUCAUUCCUGUGCCAGCAUUCCACGACCUCUACUUGCAAUUCAGCAACGACCCUCACUCAAGUCCCCUGCCCUGCGGGCAACAAGCACAGAGAACUCCUGCUCCAUGAGUUGGCAUGAAUGGGAUUUUUCCAGCCUGAUGCCUCAAAGUUCCAAGAGGUUGCAUAUUUAUGGGAAUGACAAUGGUACCACUACAAGGAAGCUGAUGUUCGUCUUUUCUCUGUGGAAACUGGAACCUUAUUCAGGUCCCUUAAGAUUCUGUUUUUUCCUAUUUACUCAUUUGAAUGAAGAACAAACUGCAUGGGUGUGAAUCACCCAGUGAAUCCAUGGACCUGACUGGAGAAGGUGUUCUUUUAAGACCUGAAACAGAAGGAAAGUUAAUAAGAGUAUGUAUCACCCCUAAAACAAUUUUGUGGUUCAUAACAAAUAUUUUUAAAUGUCUUUGCUUCAUUUCCAGAGAAAUUAAACAGACUCAUAUAUAAUCUGGAGCAAGAGGUAGGGGAGGUUACUGAAGUACUUAUGCAUCUUGAUGGAUUCCAAAUUAUUCUUGCAUAAAUAGAUGAAAAUAAACUUGAAGUAAGAGAAUUAGCAUGCAUCCUGAAAGCAAAAUGCAAAUUUGGUCUGAGGCAACUGAACUACUAUCCUAAGAACUGGUUAACGUGAAUAGCCAAUGGAAGCACAGAAGUAAAAGUGAAUGGGCUCCGAAAGGGAGCAGACUCUUCAUUUUCACUCAUGAAUAAGGCAUGCAGAGAAAUGUAUCAAACUCUCAAGAAACAUAGUAUUUCCUUGAUCUUUUUUGUCCUUGAAGUGCUUGGAAGAUUCUUUUCAAAAUAGUUUUAUAUCUUUAGAAAAGUAUUUUUCUAAGGCACAUUCUCACACAUCAGGAGUUGUUACUUAAAACAUGGAGCAAAAUUAUUUUUGCCUUCUUAUUUUUAAUAUUAACAUUCACUAAUUAGUUGAAACCAAUGUUGACUUUCUUAAAAAUCAUCGCUGAAUCUCUAUCAUGUCAGGUAUUGGGUAAGAACUAGAGAUGCAACAGUGAACAAAAGUAAAUAAAACCCUGUUGUCCAAGAGUUUGACUUCUAAAGGAGACUCAAGAAUAAACAUGUGGGGCCCUUAUUGUGGCAGGUUAAGCUGCUGUUAGCAAUACAGACAGCCCAUUUGAGUGUCAGUUAGAGCCCCAGUUGCUCCACUUCUGAUCCAAUUCGCUGCUAAUGUUCCUGAGAAAGCAAUGGAAUAUGGUCCAAGUCCUUGGACCCCUGCAACCACAUGGGUGACCAAGAUGCAGCUUUGGAAGCUUUGGCCUGGCCCAGCACUGGCCAUGUGGCCAUUUGGGGAUUGAACCAGUGCAUGUAAGACUUCUCUCUCUCCCUCUCUGCGUAAUUCUCCCUUUCAAAUAAAGAAUGCACCUUUAAGAAAAGGACAAAGAAGUAACAGCAUAAAUUUAUAAUAUAUCAUUUGAUCAUACAUGCUAAGGAGGAAAAUAAAUUGUGGUAAAGCAGUGGAGUAGGGAGAAAUGAAGAGUAGACAUUCAGGAGAGGGCUGAGAUAAGUUGGGCAAGGGAGUAUUAUUUGCUCUAGUAAAGUUCUCAAAUACUUAAUCAAAUGAAAAGUCAAUAAUGAGAAUAAUUAAAGGUAGAGCAUCAGUCCUAAGAGCAAAUACAAGGUCAAAUAUUAAUGAUAAAAAUCAUAGAAGUAGUAAUAAAAUUAACAACUGUGGCAACAGGUACAAUUUGUUAAAUAUAUGCCAUAUAUUAAUCAGUUGUUCUGAUUACUGUAGUAUUGUGUGUAAAGAAAUUUAUUUAUUUAUUUAUUUUAGAGGCAAAGAGCAAGUGAGAGACAGAAACAGAGAGAUAAAGAGGGAAACAGAAAGCAAGAGAGAGUUUGUUCUUCCAUCUGCUGGUUCACUCUUCAAACACCCACAAUAUCCAGGACUGGACUGGGCUGGGAGCUGGGAAUUCAGUACAGGUCUCUUGUAGUUGGCAAGAACCCAAUCACUUGAGCCCUUACUGCUACCUCCCAAUGUUUGUACUAGCAUGAAGUUGGAGUUAGGAGCAUAGUCAGGUAUUGAAUCUAGGCACCUUGAUGUGGCACAUGGGUGUCUUAACCUCUUAAGCCAAAUGCCCUCCACUGUAUAUUAUACUAGCUGUUUUGAUGCUCGUAAGGGUCUUACUUUGUUUUUUUUUUUUUUUUUGUGCAUGGAAGAGAAUAUUAAUGUAUUUAUUUUAAAUUAUUUUAAGAGAGUAUUUCAGGCAUGGAAAGCCAAGACACUCUGGCAAAAGAUCUCUGCGAGUGAUAUCCCAGUGGAAAGAACAGGUCUUCAAAGAAGGAGGUACCUUUCUCUGAAGGGAGGAGAGAACCUCCACUUUGACCAUGACCUUGUCUAAACAAGAUAAGAAUCGGAGAACUCAGAGGGCUUCCAUAGCCUUGGAAACUCAUGACUGGAGCAUAGGGAGAUUACUGAUGCCAUAGACAGGAGUGUCAAUUGGUAAAGUCAACAACAGGAGUCACUGUGCACUUAUUCCUCAUGUAGGAUCUCUGUCCUUAAUGUGCUGUGUAUUGAGAUUUAAUGCUAUAACGAGUACUCAAACAAUAUAUUUCACUUUGUGUUUCUAUGGGGGUGCAAACUGUUGAAAUCUUUACUUAAUGUAUACUAAACUGAUCCUCUGUAAAAAAAAAAAAAAAGGAAAGAAAGAAAGAAAUUCUCAACUCCCAACUUGACUCUCACUGGGAUU